GUUUUUAUAGUUGAAUUAACAACGGUGAUUUUUCAGGUCAUUAGUUCUGGUUAGAACCCAGAUAGAAAUA
RNAcentral lists this transfer RNA (70 nucleotides) under Rhinochimaera pacifica (Pacific spookfish). Its description in RNAcentral is "tRNA-Glu". It matches the Rfam family "tRNA". From Rfam's summary of the family: Transfer RNA (tRNA) molecules are approximately 80 nucleotides in length. Lineage: Eukaryota; Metazoa; Chordata; Chondrichthyes; Chimaeriformes; Rhinochimaeridae. The record is from RNAcentral.